Vitis riparia (riverbank grape) is the source of this 578-nucleotide long non-coding RNA. RefSeq lists it as uncharacterized. The record is from RefSeq and is a predicted model, not a curated record. The transcript is spliced from 3 exons. NCBI's taxonomy places the organism in Eukaryota, Viridiplantae, Streptophyta, Magnoliopsida, Vitales, Vitaceae.
UACAAGGUCAUUUUCAAGUGAACUUCUUCAAGAUCUUUUAGUUAUUCUUGUGGAAAACUCAUCCAAUAAGGUUCCUUAAUGGCAGCUAGUCCAAUUCAAAGAAACAGAAUCAUCCGGGGUAACCUAAAAGGACAUGUAUGCUGCCAAAUAUUCUUCAGUUGCUGCAAGUACUUCCGCCUGGUAAUUCAAAAGCAGAAAGAGUCCCAAGUCCCAACUCCAACAGCGGAAGCAGCAGAUGGGGACAAGAACUUCAUGACUCUGGCAUCUGCUGUCUCAGAACUAAGCUAUCUGGAUGAUGCUACUUUUGCUGACCUUUAUCAGUGACGGUUGAAUUUGGAAUUAUCAUUGCUAUUUGUAGAAUGUGGGUUUCAUGCAGACAAAACCCCCGGACUUGAAGGUUACAACUUACGGUAUCAGAUUGCCUUAAUACCUGAAAUUGCAAGGUAUUGGUAGGGUGGUGUUGCUGUUGAAUAAUUAUAAUUGGUAUGGAACUUGGAACCAUCUGUAUCAUAGCAUAUGGAAUCACUAAAUGUAAUGAAAGAAGCUAUUUUUGCACUAGAACCUCAUUUCCUUGGCUA